Teleopsis dalmanni is the source of this 1577-nucleotide long non-coding RNA. RefSeq lists it as uncharacterized. The transcript has 4 exons. The record is from RefSeq and is a predicted model, not a curated record. NCBI's taxonomy places the organism in Eukaryota, Metazoa, Arthropoda, Insecta, Diptera, Diopsidae.
AUACGAAGUGUCAAAAGCAAAUGUAAAAAAAUCCAUUACAAACUAUUUGCGGCACUUUCGUGAAAUUCGCAGAAUUUAAAUUUUUAUAUAAAACUGCUAACCAAAAUCAAGUGAGUGCCUUAGUAAAUAAAAGACAGUGAAAGCGGUGUACGCUAUGUUAACGAAAACAAAUGAUGUUGCUAAGCUGAGAAGUGUUCUGCUAGGAUGUGGGAGAAGCCUCUAAUAAAAACUAAUGUAAAACUUGUUGCUAUUUAAAAAAUGCAAAACGCAAUAAAUAUUUUGUUGCUGAGCAUUAUGGUCAAUGUGUAUUGCGACAUAAUGCAGUGUUUAAAGAGAAUAUUAGCAAUUACCUUAAUUGGAAAUUCAGUUGUGGCUGAAUACUGUCAUUGCGUUGUUAUUUAUAUGAUGAGGCAAGUAGUUGGGGAAAUAAUUCAACGCGCCACCAAAAGUACAGGAUAAAAUGUAAUACUUGAAGCGAAAACAGUCAUUAUUGAAGGUUUAGCAGAUGCUAUAUGACGAUAGAUGCCUGUAUUUGUCUGUCCUAGAAGAAACGAUUAUCACUGUAGUAUGAGAUAUUUCAUUGUAUAGUAACUUAAAUUAGUUACGGGCCCAUUUUGAAUCAGCAAGUUAUUAUUUCUAUAAUAAAGCAGACUAUAUCUUUAAUGGCAUACAUUAAAAUCGAAUUGGAAAAAAAUUUGAUAAUGUGAUUGCGAGUGUUGAGCAGUAUCAGAUUGGAUGCGCCUUAUUUCUUUCCUUCAUAGAAGGAGGAUGCCAUCACAUAAAGUCUAUAUAUGAUUAGUAAGCUUGCACAUAUGAAGGGAAAAUUAAUAUCUAAGUAUAGACGUAUAUGCUCGAUGUACCAAAUCAGAUUCGCCCUUUAAAUUGUUAACAUUUUAUCAGUUUAACUAAGGAGACAAUUAUACUCACUUCAACAGAAAGCAGUGUAUCAGAGUAACAAUUGACAACGUUUCAAAAAGCAAGGAAUAUAAGUGUCAGUCAUGACUUAUAUAUCUAAAACUUCAAAAAUUUUACUUAUGCAACUUCUCUGUUGACAUUGUGGCCUUGAUUAUUUAUUGUGAUGUUAACGCUUAAUUUUUAUUUCAUUCAAAUUCGAUUGAAUGUGAACAUUUAUGUGUUCCUGCCUUAAUACAAAUAUUUAUAACACUUCAAAGAAACACCUCAGAUUUACAAAUAUAAAACAUCAUUCUGACCAGCAAUACAGAUAUCCAGUGUCGCAGUCAAAUUUAUGCUUAUCAUUUAAAGGUUUAGUGUUAAGCAAAGUAGUGAGAAGCAGUAAUUCAACUAUAGGGUGGUGAGACCUUUAUAGGAUUGAGUUACAUUUGUCAGGAAUCAAAUAAGUUCGAAACGAAAAAACACCAUUGGCUGUGUAAAGCUCCUUUCAAAUGCUUAACUCAACAUGUAUUUUCCAUCUAUUUUAAAACAUUAAACAUCAUUCAACACAAUUUUACAACAACUACAACAAUUAUGAGGUAAACACUUAAAUAUUGAAGUAUAUAAUAAAAUCAUUAGACAAGUAAAUAAAAGUUAAAGAUUGAAGAAGAACUAAUCAGAUAAAA